GUUUCGGCUAAGCCAUGCGAGUCUAGGGAUCGCAAGAUACCGGCAUACUGCUCAGUAACACGCGGAUAAUCUGCCCCCAGGUGAAGAAUACCCUCGGGAAACUGAGGCUAAUACUUCAUAAUCACUAUAUGCUGGAAUGCUUUGGUGAUGAAAGAAUAUCGCCUGAGGAUGAGUCUGCGGCCUAUCAGGUCGUAUGUGGUGUAAUGGACCACAUAGCCUAAGACGGGUACGGGCCUUGAAAGAGGGAGCCCGGAGAUGGACUCUGAGACAUUAGUCCAGGCCCUACGGGGCGCAGCAGGCGCGAAAACUGCGCAAUGCGCGAAAGCGCGACACGGGAAGCCUGAGUGCCUUAACACAGUUAAGGCUUUUCUCAAGCCUAAAAAGCUUGAGGAA
This 393-nucleotide ribosomal RNA is filed under the name uncultured archaeon. RNAcentral's name for it is "bacterial SSU rRNA". It matches the Rfam family "Archaeal small subunit ribosomal RNA", at positions 37 to 435 of the family's 1478-position model. The record is from RNAcentral.